UACGGAGGGUGCGAGCGUUAAUCGGAAUUACUGGGCGUAAAGAGUGCGUAGGUGGUUAAUUAAGUUAUCUGUGAAAUCCCUGGGCUCAACCUGGGCAGGUCAGAUAAAACUGUUUAACUCGAGUAUGGGAGAGGGUAGUGGAAUUUCCGGUGUAGCGGUGAAAUGCGUAGAGAUCGGAAGGAACACCUGAGGCGAAGGCGGGUUGCUGGGCUAACACUGACGCUGAGGCGCGAAAGCUAGGGGAGCAAACAGG
This 253-nucleotide ribosomal RNA is filed under the name uncultured bacterium. RNAcentral's name for it is "partial 16S ribosomal RNA". It matches the Rfam family "Bacterial small subunit ribosomal RNA", at positions 524 to 776 of the family's 1533-position model. The record is from RNAcentral.